RNAcentral lists this ribosomal RNA (253 nucleotides) under uncultured bacterium. RNAcentral describes it as "partial 16S ribosomal RNA". It matches the Rfam family "Bacterial small subunit ribosomal RNA", at positions 524 to 776 of the family's 1533-position model. The record is from RNAcentral.
GACGUAGGAUGCGAGCGUUAUCCGGAUUCCCUGGGCGUAAAGCGCAUGUAGGCGGUUUCACAAGUCCGUUGUUAAAGCCCCUGGCUCAACUGGGGGAGGUCAAUGGAGACUGUGCGACUUGAGGGCAAUAGAGGCACGUGGAACUCCCGGUGUAGCGGUGGAAUGCGUAGAGAUCGGGAAGAACACCAGUGGCGAAGGCGACGUGCUGGGUUGCACCUGACGCUGAGAUGCGAAAGUGUGGGGAGCAAACGGG